AGCGAACGCUGGCGGCAGGCUUAACACAUGCAAGUCGAGCGGGCACUUCGGUGUCAGCGGCAGACGGGUGAGUAGCACGUGGGAACGUACCCUUUGGUUCGGAAUAACGCUGGGAAACUAGCGCUAAUACCGGAUACGCCCUUUUGGGGAAAGGCUUGCUGCCGAAGGAUCGGCCCGCGUCUGAUUAGCUAGUUGGUGGGGUAAUGGCCUACCAAGGCGACGAUCAGUAGCUGGUCUGAGAGGAUGAUCAGCCACACUGGGACUGAGACACGGCCCAGACUCCUACGGGAAGCAGCAGUGGGGAAUAUUGGACAAUGGGCGCAAGCCUGAUCCAGCCAUGCCGCGUGAGUGAUGAAGGCCUUAGGGUUGUAAAGCUCUUUUGUCCGGGACGAUAAUGACGGUACCGGAAGAAUAAGCCCCGGCUAACUUCGUG
Molecule: ribosomal RNA, 433 nt
Filed under: uncultured bacterium
Lineage: Bacteria
Description: partial 16S ribosomal RNA
Rfam family: Bacterial small subunit ribosomal RNA
Source: RNAcentral